CACUGCACUGUGUGAUGAUGUGACGUUAGUCACGUCAUCACACAGUACUUUCAGUUUCUCCGCCCGAGCGGCUGCUCAACGGCUGCACGUGUGACCUGCCCGGCUGCCCUGGCACCUGCUGUGAUGAUUCAGAUUGCUGCCAGUGCCCACACCAGUCCUCUGUCUCCAGACACGGCUAGGAACAGGUUCGGGGGGGCCCCGGUGUGUCCACAGAAUCCACCGCCAGCCGCGGCAUGGAUAAUAGGAAAGGGGGGGGGUUGUGUCAACAGAGUCCACCACCGGCCGCGGCACUGUGCAUGUAUUGCAGGUAACACCGAAACAGCUGAGGGGUAAAGAGCCAGGAAAGACCACAUAAUCCAAAAGAAAAAGUUGCAAGGCCCUGACGAAGCACCUUUGCGCGAAACUUGUUGGCUACCUGCAUACUGUCACUUAUCCUGCUUUUGUAACUACUGUGCUCCAUAUUAAUCUUUGGAAUUGUUUUUAAUAAGCAUUAUUAAAUUGAUACAUUUUGAUAAAAUCA
Molecule: long non-coding RNA, 520 nt
Organism: Rana temporaria (common frog)
Lineage: Eukaryota; Metazoa; Chordata; Amphibia; Anura; Ranidae
Exons: 2
Source: RefSeq, a predicted model, not a curated record